GUGCCAGCAGCUGCGGUAAUACGUAGGGCGCAAGCGUUGUCCGGAAUUAUUGGGCGUAAAGAGCUCGUAGGCGGCUUGUCGCGUCGGUUGUGAAAGCCCGGGGCUUAACCCCGGGUCUGCAGUCGAUACGGGCAGGCUAGAGUGUGGUAGGGAGAUCGGAAUUCCUGGUGUAGCGGUGAAAUGCGCAGAUAUCAGGAGGAACACCGGUGGCGAAGGCGGAUCUCUGGGCCAUUACUGACGCUGAGGAGCGAAAGCGUGGGAGCGAACAGGAUUAGAUACCCUGGUAAGUCCACG
Molecule: ribosomal RNA, 294 nt
Filed under: uncultured Streptomyces sp.
Lineage: Bacteria; Bacillati; Actinomycetota; Actinomycetes; Kitasatosporales; Streptomycetaceae
Description: partial 16S ribosomal RNA
Rfam family: Bacterial small subunit ribosomal RNA
Source: RNAcentral